UUACGGCCACAUCAGCUUGAAACACAGGUUCCCGUACAAUCACCGAAUUUAAGCAACAUCGAAUCUGAUUAGUACUUGGUGGGUAACCACUAGGGAAUACCAGGUGCUGUAAG
Acanthosepion pharaonis is the source of this 113-nucleotide non-coding RNA. The record is from the annotation of a GenBank genome assembly. NCBI's taxonomy places the organism in Eukaryota, Metazoa, Mollusca, Cephalopoda, Sepiida, Sepiidae.